ACUGAAUUCUGCUAAAAUGUAGGCACAGUUUCUAUACUCCCUUACUGCUCAAAUCAUUUGGCCAGAGUUUACAAAAUUUGUAACUAAUUGCUGCUAUAGAUAACAUCACUAUUGUAGAACCUGAGAUUGGUCUUUUGAGAUGUUUCUCAUUCUUUGCAUUCUGGCAACCCGCUGACCUCAUCCAUACCCAUGACUAAUGGCUCAGCAGUCAUGUGGUCCCCACUAGAGUCAGAUUCAAGCACAAACAGAUCAUUUCCCUCGCCCGCAUGAUUCCAUCCCCAAACAAUCAGCAGUACCCAUUUUUUAGUCCUGUGCCCCUGAAACUAUCCUUGAAAAUCUCUAACCCCUGAUCCACUAGGGAGGUGAUUUGAGUAAUAAUAAACCUCCAUCCUCCUGUUUGGCAGACUUGGAGUCAUUAAAAUCUUUCUUUACUGCAAAUCACCAUCUGGAUAAAUUGGUUUUGUUUGUGCAGGAGGCCAGAAGAACUUGUGUGGGAAUUAUAAGAGUGGAUGGAGGAGCUGCCUAUCCCUGUCCCAUGGUCUUUUCCACAGAACAGCCUCACAAAGGGAAAGAGCCCUGGGUGGGGAUACAGUGGAAGCUUAUUCUCUUAGUGACCUGGGGACAUUGGCUCGAGAUGAAGCCUGGCAGGAGUGGCAACUCCAGGUUACAUCUCUGCUGGACACACUAGAUAUUGAAAUCUUUGUUCAUUCUCUUGGUUCUGGUUUGGCUGACCUGUCAGCUGGAGCUGGAGGACAUGCCUGGCAGGGGAGUGACCCCCAUGGGAAAGAGCAGGACUCAGCAGAGUGAAAGCAGCUGGGACCCAGAGAAGCCAGGGAGGUCUGACUCUUAGAAGCCAAAGACCAACAGGUGGGUGUCCUCAGGGGUAAAUGGACUACACUGGUACCUAUUGCAGUGGACUGGAAAAAGGUAAGAGGCUUUGGAUAUUCCAUUUUCUCUCUCAGCUCUUCAGCAGGAGAUUUGGGCCCUGGGCUGGUACUGCCCUGUAGCAGGGGCAGGAAAGACAGGAAUGGCUGCAUAUCAGGCCUAAGUCCAUGUCAUCCUCUCAGGCAUUGCCACUGAAGAUGGAGAAUUUUGUUCAGAGGCCCAGCCUUAGCACAUGGGAGGAGCCACCUUAUUAAAAUUAAUUUAAGAAAACAGUAUGCAUGCUUUAUUCUUCUAGAAUAAUUAUUAAUGUCAUGUUUUACAAUGUAUCUCUUAAAAGAAUGGUGAGAAUCAUCUACAUAAUGUAUGUUUUAGGUAGUCCUUUCUAUAAUUGCAGCUUUCACAUGUUCUGAUAGAAACCAUUUCCUUUAGGAACACACAGGCAGUAUCUCUGUGUUGAUUUCUACUGGGAAAUUUUUAUGCCAGGUGGAGAGAGUCACAUUUCCUAAUGAGAGAUGGAAAGCAUCUGACUACCAGAUAAAGUGUCCAAACGCUGCUGGUAAUGAUCAUGGGGCUGCGGGUAGAGGUCAGUUUAAGGAGGUGUCAUGGAAAGUAAUUUUGAAAGUCUUUUUUUUUUUUCCUUUUUUUUUUUUUUUUUUUUUUUCUUUUACAAAAUCAAUGGCAGAAGCCACCAGCUGGACCCUCCACCUGUUGGAAUGGAUGAGGGACAGAAAUCGAGCCCAGUAAAUUAAGAUUGAAAUCCAGAAGUGGGCAAGAGGUUUGAGAGGUCGACGGGUGUGAGAGGUGAAUGGGUGAAUGGUGAGAAUGUUCAAAACCUCUCCUUUCUCCAUAAAAAGAGAGCAUUUAGGCCGCUAAGCCAGACAGUGUCCAGGCCAGGGGGAGCAGGAUGUUAUCAGCUCUCCUGGGCAAAAGUGAGACUCCAGCAGUGUCCAGUUACCUCAUCCAGUUUGGGAUUUAUUCCUGUUUUAAAAAUGAUCCAACAGUAUGCAAUUUUGAAAAUUUACAAAAAUUCCUAUGCUACCAUUCAUAGAUAGCCAUGAUGGCCCUAAGAUGGUGAGAGAAUCAGAAUGGGGUUUGGGUUUACAUUGUGUAUUUUUUUCUCCCAAUAUCUACAGAAUUCCCUACAUCCAACUUUUUAAUGUAACCCAGUAGGUGUCAUUCCCUUUCGUAGUCCCGACCUUUCUGGUUCACGGUUGCAGACCCUUGGAAAACCCACACCCUUUCUGCUGUGAGGUACAGGCAGCCAUGUGGCAUCACCUCUAAACAUGCCUUCUGGGACAUCAAAUUGCUGAAUAAGUAAAAGUCAUUUCAGUAGAUAUUGAAGACCUCCGUUUUACCCCUCUCACACUUGUAAUUCUUCUACCAAGAGGUGAUGGAUUUUAGUGGUGAUUUGCUUUUAUAGGUUAGUGUAGAUUAACGCUUCUGCCAGGUGCAAUUUUUUCAUUGGGAAAAGCAUUUGGCAAAGUCUGGAGACAUUGCUGGUUGACAGAGCUGGGGGGGGAAGUCCUGCUGGCCUUGAAUGGGUAGAGUCCCCAGAUAGUGCUGAACAUUCUAGAGCUCACAAAGCCCCACCAGCAUGACCACUACAAAGUUCAAUGCUGAGGAGGAGUGGAGAGCCCUGAUGUGCCUCCCCUAGCUUCCCUGGAGCUUUUUUACCUUCUCCUUCCAUCAGUCUCUACCGCUUUCUCACCUCAGCUUGCUCUUUGAACUUUAAUGUCCUCCACUUGAACUUGCCCUUAGUUUAAGACCUGCUGUAAUCUCUGGACUUCCUUGGCCCCUUUCUGAUCCUUAGCAGGGUGUCCUCUAGAGGACCCCCUCAACUUUCCUGGAGUUUCCCAGGAUUCAGAUGCCCCUGCUCUGUGUGGGCACCAAGGGUAUGGCGGUGUACUUGUGUCCCUAAAGAUGCUGUCAUUCAGGACCUUUGUGUGAGAGCAACUGAGGUGAUACUACCCUCCCCUACUUUUCUUGGAACAUAAAAAUUUGUGGAAACCUUGUAGAGUAAAAUUUCUUACUGCUUGUAAAAAUUUAAAAAAUGUAUAUUUUUGCCUCUCAAACUGUACUGGGAAAAAUUUAUCACAGUCCCAGUCAUAAAAAAUGACACCUAAUCUGGGUUAUUUACUGUAUUAUUUGUUUAACAGCAAAAUAUUGGGAACAACCUAGACUUUCACCAGCACAAUGCUAAUUCAACAGAUUACCUUAUAUCUACACAAUAGAAUAUGAUGCAGCUGCAUAAACAGUAAAGACUCUUUCAGCUAUUCCUAUGGAAACAGCUCCAUGUUCUGUUUUAAUUUUAGCAUCUAAAUAUCACAGAAUAAGAUGCAGUUUUUCUACUAGAUCUGACCUUACAACACUAUUUUUAAUGUUUAUUUUAUUUAUUUGUUUUAUUUAAAAAGAGAGGGUCUCACUCUCAUACCUAGGCUGAAGUGCAGUGGCGAGAUCAUAAUUGACUGCAGCCUCAACUUUGUGAGCUCAAGAGAUCCUCCUGUCUCAGCCUUCUGAGUAGCUGGAAUCACAGGCAUGUGCCACCAUGCCUAGCUGAUU
Molecule: long non-coding RNA, 3444 nt
Filed under: Macaca mulatta (Rhesus monkey)
Lineage: Eukaryota; Metazoa; Chordata; Mammalia; Primates; Cercopithecidae
Description: lncRNA (ENSMMUG00000057715.1)
Source: RNAcentral